This is a long non-coding RNA of Hibiscus syriacus, 931 nucleotides long. RefSeq lists it as uncharacterized. NCBI's taxonomy places the organism in Eukaryota, Viridiplantae, Streptophyta, Magnoliopsida, Malvales, Malvaceae. The transcript has 5 exons. The record is from RefSeq and is a predicted model, not a curated record.
UUCUUCUUGUACAGAUAGGAAUAUCUCAUGGAUGGCUCAGGAAUUAGUCCCCAGAAUACCGAUCAAUCAACCUCUGUUGUGCCAUCUUCAGCAAAACGCUUUAAAUUGCUACCUGGUGACUGCCUUCCCAUUCUGGAUGAUCCAAAAAACGGCUUCUGGCAUGAAAAAUUCUAAAUUCUCAUGACGUAUAUGCAUCUAAGGACUUUCCAAUAAACGGUUUCAGAAAGUGAAAUCCCUAUGAAAGCCCUUGAAAACUGUCAACUGACAAAAAAUCUUCCUGGGCCUUUGUACCAAAAUGUAUAUUCUCAAAGGAAUAUUCGUCUUCGGCUAGCGCUUAGUCAUCAGUACUUUAGUACUCCAACCAAAGAACUCUGCAGUGACAAGGCUAAUCGACAAGUGUCAGAGCAAAGCACAAUGACGUUACGGCAUCUCAAGGGGUCAGUCCUCUUGAACAGGUGGAUAAUCUGCUUACUGAGAAGCAAGUGUGUUCUAAGCAGAUAUCCAAUCAAGAUCUGCUCAAAUUUCAGAAUUAUGCUCAAGUAAAUCCGAGAGGUACUUGCUGUCCAAUGACUUUUCAAAUCCACAUCCCGUUGAUGAUAUUCCAAGGCCUCAGGCUGAUUCUGUUGGAAUGACCGGAAGAAAAUGUUCCUGAGCAUGUGCUUUUCAGGCAACUCAGGUUGAUUAUUUGCAGACAAACUGCUGGGACCUUUGCAGCCUCCAAAUGGAAUUGUUCAUGUUGAAUAGACAAUGCAGGGUUCGAUUUUUGCUUGGUGAAGGUGUAUUUAGCCGUACAUGAGGUUUAGGAUCCAUUUUUGAAAACCUAGAAAAGCAUCUCUUCAAUUGUUCAUUCUAAUCUUGUGAAUUACACUUUCGAAACUGGCCUCUGUUUAUAUUUGCAUAGAAAUAAAGUAAAUACCUUCCAAUUACCAUU